Molecule: ribosomal RNA, 533 nt
Filed under: uncultured bacterium
Lineage: Bacteria
Description: bacterial SSU rRNA
Rfam family: Bacterial small subunit ribosomal RNA
Source: RNAcentral
CCGCAUACAUCCAUAUUUUUGGGAAGAGAUGUGGGGAAAGCUCUGGUGCUCUGGGAGGGGUCUGCGUCCGAUUAGCUAGUUGGUGAGGUAAAGGCUCACCAAGGCGACGAUCGGUAGCUGGUCUGAGAGGACGAUCAGCCACACGGGAACUGAGACACGGUCCCGACUCCUACGGGGGGGCAGCAGUGAGGAAUAUUGGGCAAUGGGCGAGAGCCUGACCCAGCAACGCCGCGUGGAGGAAGACGGCCUUCGGGUUGUAAACUCCUUUUGACAGGGGAAGAGAGAGGACGGUACCUGUCGAAUAAGUCACGGCUAACUACGUGCCAGCAGCCGCGGUAAUACGUAGGUGACAAGCGUUAUCCGGAAUUACUGGGCGUAAAGCGCACGCAGGCGGCUGCUUAAGUCUGACGUGAAAUCUCCUGGCUUAACUGGGAGGGGUCGUUGGAAACUGGGUGGCUUGAGGUGGUGAGAGGGGUGCAGAAUUCCCGGUGUAGUGGUGGAAUGCGUAGAUAUCGGGAGGAAUACCAGUGGCG